AGCUCAAGUCAAGCUUCUGUUUAAAUCUAUUGGGAAGCAGGAUAAGAUAAUAUCGAGAUCGCUUGAAGCUACGCAACAGAUAAAAAAGAUACAAAUGAAGACGAUGGACACCACAAUAACAACAAAGCUUGGACCAAAAGAAUCCACAAGUAUCAGCAGUAAGUGUGCUGAUGUGGAUAAUGAUAUGCUGAUG
Eurytemora carolleeae is the source of this 193-nucleotide long non-coding RNA. RefSeq lists it as uncharacterized. The record is from RefSeq and is a predicted model, not a curated record. The transcript has 3 exons. Lineage: Eukaryota; Metazoa; Arthropoda; Copepoda; Calanoida; Temoridae.